CAUGCUGUAAACGAUGAUUACUAGGUGUGGGGGGUCUGACCCCUUCCGUGCCGGAGUUAACACAAUAAGUAAUCCACCUGGGGAGUACGGCCGCAAGGUUGAAACUCAAAGGAAUUGACG
RNAcentral lists this ribosomal RNA (120 nucleotides) under uncultured bacterium. RNAcentral describes it as "partial 16S ribosomal RNA". It matches the Rfam family "Bacterial small subunit ribosomal RNA", at positions 796 to 915 of the family's 1533-position model. The record is from RNAcentral.